AGUACCAAUUGUGAAUGAGUGAUUCUGAGUGCUUUCUCACGUGAUUGCAUUUAACACUUAGGUCAGUUCUUUGUCAGUGCUUGCAUGACUUUUUUAGUCACUUUCUUAGAAACUGUCUUAGUGUCUGCUCCAUCUUUCUUCUUUUCCAUUUCCAACCUCAGCUAACCCAGAAAUUGUUUUUACAAAUAACUCAUACCCCACUUCCUUCAGUUCACUUUUUGUAUAGUUACUAUAUUAAUCUAUU
Molecule: long non-coding RNA, 244 nt
Filed under: Bos taurus (domestic cattle)
Lineage: Eukaryota; Metazoa; Chordata; Mammalia; Artiodactyla; Bovidae
Description: long non-coding RNA NONBTAT001771
Source: RNAcentral